Molecule: non-coding RNA, 2219 nt
Organism: Phoenix dactylifera (date palm)
Lineage: Eukaryota; Viridiplantae; Streptophyta; Magnoliopsida; Arecales; Arecaceae
Source: RefSeq, a predicted model, not a curated record
CGCUCACCUCUCUCGCCUUUCCUAUUUCGGCUUUGGCUUAUUUUCCCCUUUUUUUUCUUUCCUUUCUUCCUCGCCCAUUGUCGGAACGCACGCGGUAUCCACGCAAGAAGAGGAGGGGAUGGAAAGAAGGGUUCAAAGCUCUCUAUGUGCCUUUGUGUGACGGAUUUCGUUCUUUGACGGGAUCCCUUCUUUCCCCCUCCUUUUGCGACCGUCUUGAUCGCUAUUUUCCGCCUAUCCAGCAGCUUCCUCUUCUCCAAUUCGAAUCGCCUUCUUGUUUGGCUCCCUUUCGCUGAUUCUUGGAUGUUUUAUUUUUUGGGGUAGUUUCUAAUCGCUGCAUUAUCUCUUCAUAUCGAUAAACCGAGAAUUUUUCGAGCCGAUUGAUUGGACCUGAAUGCUCGCGGUUUCAACGUGAAUACAUGAUGGCGGAUCCUUGAAGAAUUAGAUUUAGGGUUUAGGGUUCAAAGAGUAUAAACUUUUUGCUUUUUUCUUUUAAGAAAAAAAGUUAUACUUUAAGCUUUCGACUUGGAAUUCUUUUGAUAUAUACUGGUAAAGCGCGUUCUUUGUUUGGAUCCAUCUUUGUAUUUUAGUGGCGAGUUUUUGUAACUUCUUGCGUGGUGUUUCAGUCGAAUAAAGGUUGGAUGAUGGAAUGGUUUUAUUGAGGGCUCCAGUACUGAUUGUGUUAUUCGCCACUAUAUUACUUGUUGGAAUUCUGAGCUGAAUUGUUGGAAUACUGCUGAUGGUGAUUUGCUUGGGAAUCUCGCCGAGUUCUUGUAGAUAUAGCUUUCUAGCAGACAGCUAAAUGUCAACAGUGUUUUUCGUUGUGAAGUUUUCUCAUCUUUCUUCGUUUACUUUGUGUUAGAUUAUGAAGUGAUUUUAGUUUGAGAUAUGUGAUCAGUGUUGCUGAAGAUACCUAUUAAGUUGGAUUCUGAAGUACUUUUUGAUAAUAGGGCUUUCUCUUGAACUGUUAGCUUGAUCUGUUUGAAGUAAAGUUAAUCUUAAGCUCCACAUUGUAUGGAGGGACUGUGAAAUCUAUCGUUGUUACUUAAAGAAGCCUCCUAUUUUCUCCAGGCUGCAUCAUGACGCACAUAAUUCAGAAUGAAGGUGGCUCAUCUAGCUUGACUUCAAUAAGCAGCCAGGGAAAUGAUACAGAUGAUGACCGGAUGAUUGCAAUUCUUCUUUCAGAAGAGUAUGCUAGUUUAGAUGGUGCAGUUGCUAGACGCCUUUCAAAAAUGUCCUCUGUCCCUCAUGUCCCCCGAAUAAAUACAUUCAUUCCGGAACUGAGCAAUGCCAGUCUAGAUCACCAGCGUCUUCUCCAGAGGCUAAAUGCUUAUGGCUUAUAUGAAGUGAAAGUUUCUGGGGAUGGCAAUUGUCAGUUCCGUGCACUCUCAGACCAGAUGUACAGAUCACCAGAGCAUCACAAACAUGUUCGAAAAGAGAUAGUAAAGCAGCUCAAAGAAUGUCAUUCUUUAUAUGAAGGUUACAUUCCCAUGAAAUACAAGCACUACUGCAAGAAAAUGGCCAAAUCUGGUGAAUGGGGAGACCAUGUUACACUACAAGCAGCUGCUGAUAAGUUUGCGGCAAAGAUACGUCUUCUAACUUCGUUUAGAGAUACCUGUUUUGUUGAGGUUGUUCCACAAUAUCAAACUCCUCAAAGAGAGCUGUGGCUGAGUUUCUGGUCCGGAGUACACUACAAUUCAAUUUAUAAGCUUCAAGAUCUUCCAGUUCGGUGCAAGCCUAGAAAGAAACACUGGUUAUUUUAGAGGGUCACGUAGAGCUUCAAAGAGUUAUGGAGGGCUUUAAGAUGCCAAAAAAAAAACCAUAAAUACAUACACUUCCGUAGACUAAUCUUAAACCAGAACCUGUCGUGCAUUUAUUGAAUGAGUUAUAUAGCCUGCUAGUGGGACGGAUGUGAAUACGGCCAACAAGAUCAAAAAAUAUAAGACUAUAUAAGGGCACGGACACUGACUCGUGGUUCGUCCAAAUAAAACUCUCAGAAUGAUGAGCUGCAUGAGAAGCAACCCAAUCUAUAGCACCGUUAGCCUAUAUAUAUAAACCUAUGUGUUUUCUGUGAGUAGCAAUGCAAGAGGGCUGGGAGGAUUUUUUUUGUUUCCAUUUAUUUAUUUUUUUUAAUAAGUCCUCAGCUGUUAGAAACUGCUAUGAACCGUGAUGGCCAGCCAUAACCAGGUUAAGAUGGUCCACCGGUAUAACCAUGAAAAAAA